UUUUGAUGAUAAUUUAAGGUUUAGUCUGCUCAAUGAGGAGUUAAAUUGCCGCGGUAUUUUGACCGUGCAAAGGUAGCAUAAUAAUUAGUUUUUUAAUUGAGAGCUGGAAUGAAUGACUGGACGAGAGAAUCACUGUCUCUUUUGAAUUUAGUUGAAUUUAAUUUUUAAGUUAAAAGGCUUAGAUAAUUUUUAAAGACGAGAAGACCCUAUAGAGUUUAAUAAUUGAUUUAUUAGGUUAAGUUUAGGAAUUUUUUUAUCUAUAUUAACAAUUAUUUGGUUGGGGUGACCUAAAGAUAAAUAAAACUCUUUAUUUUAUAAUCAAAGAUUUUUGAUUAAAAUAUCCGGUUUUUCCGAAUUUAUAAAAAAUUACCUUAGGGAUAACAGCGUAAUUUCCUUUUAGAGUUCCUAUUGGUUGGGAAGUUUGCGACCUCGAUGUUGGAUUAAAAUUAAUUUUUGGUGUAGAAGCU
This 467-nucleotide ribosomal RNA is filed under the name Cussolenis mutabilis. RNAcentral describes it as "partial 16S ribosomal RNA". It matches the Rfam family "Archaeal large subunit ribosomal RNA", at positions 1961 to 2632 of the family's 2987-position model. The record is from RNAcentral. Lineage: Eukaryota; Metazoa; Arthropoda; Insecta; Coleoptera; Elateridae.